AAAUAAUACUAACUGUAGAUAUUCAAUAUAUAAGAAAGCAUAUACUAAAAUGAGAGUAAUAUGUAAGAAGCUCUUUUAAAAUGUAAAAGUAUUAAAAUAUUGCAAUAUUUUUUAAUAUAUCAUACUGUUUUAUCACAAGUAAGAGAUAAAUAUGACAAAAAGGGUCAUCACUUGCACAUUUUCAAGAUUGGGAAUUUUGAAAUGUGUUUAAAGCAAAGAUUUAUAAAAUUUGAUAUCAACAUAUAACAUAGAUGAAUAAUGAUAAGUAUUUCUUAUCUAAUUUGCAGAAAUCUGGAACUUUCAAAAAGAGUAAGGAAAUAUUUAAAAACACAUUUUCACGCUGUGUAUUUUUCUACAUUUCGCUUUAAUAUUUUUCAUUUAUGAUAUUUUUUUACAUGUGUUCUCACAUUCCUUAUUCUUUUUGGGCUCAUAACUUUUAUGUAUUUUUGGUUUAAUUCCUCACUUAAGAACAACAUGUAAAACUCAAUGCAAUGUCACUGAAAUUAAAUUAAUAUAAUUUUUAACUGUA
Molecule: long non-coding RNA, 529 nt
Filed under: Polistes fuscatus (common paper wasp)
Lineage: Eukaryota; Metazoa; Arthropoda; Insecta; Hymenoptera; Vespidae
Description: uncharacterized LOC122523669
Source: RNAcentral